This 1131-nucleotide ribosomal RNA is filed under the name Triticum aestivum (bread wheat). Its description in RNAcentral is "partial small subunit ribosomal RNA". The record is from RNAcentral. Lineage: Eukaryota; Viridiplantae; Streptophyta; Magnoliopsida; Poales; Poaceae.
AUGGCGUUUGCUGGCGUAUCUCUCAUUGCUGACGGCAAGCUGUGCGCCUCCACCAAGUCGACCAUCAACUCCGGUGCAGAUAGUGGGUACCACUUGAUCGUUGUCGAAGGUUACUUGCGCACCAAAGAGACAACUCCCAACGGCGAAUGGAUCAAGUCUCGUCCUUUCAUUGUUGGAGGCCGUCGCUGGACCAUCGACUACCACCCUAAUGGUUUUGACGAGGAUUAUGAAGAAUUUAUAUCGGUUUUCCUUGUCCUUGAAGACGAUACCGGGCCGAGCGUUAGGGUUCAGUGUGCCUUCAGUUUCAUUGACCAGCCCGAGUUACGGGUGCCAAAGCACAUCCGCCAAAGCGAACCUUUUUACUUGGAUGGUUCUUUUGAUGGCCAGUUUGAUUUCAUGAAAAAGGAGGUUUUUGAAAGAUCAAGGCAUCUCAAGGACGACAGCUUCGUCAUCCGGUGUGACCUUGUUGUCCGCAAGUCGGCCGUGAACAAGGAGGAGGAGGGGACCGCCGUUCUUCCAUUCACCGAAUUGCCACAGGCCGACUUACCAAGCCAUCUUGGCGAUCUCCUCCUGAGCAAGGAGGGUGCUGACGUCACGUUUGAGGUUGACGGCAAGGAGUUCGCUGCGCACCGGUGGAUGCUUGCAGCCCGAUCUACCGUCUUCAAGGCACAGCUCUUUGGCACCAUGAAUGUGGACAAUGCUACGUCCAGUGUUGUCAAGAUAGACGACAUCAAAGCAAACGUAUUCCUGGACUUGCUUACUUUCAUCUACACCGAUGGAAUGCCUGAAUUCAAGCGUGACAAUGGCGAUGAGACUGAUGACACCGAAGAGGAUGACAUGAAAAAAGACUGGCUGCUACAGCUCCUUGAAGCUGCAGAAAGAUAUGGUCUCCAAAGCCUCAAGUCAGUCUGUGAAGAGAAGUUGACCGAAUUGAUUUGCAAGGACACGGUGGCAGACAUCAUUGUCGUGGCUGAGCGGAACCGGUGCCUCUGGUUGAAGCAUUCCUGCUUGGAGUUCGUCAAAACUAGCACAAAUUUGCACACGGUUUUCACGGCUGAUGGGCUGGAGCAAAUAAUCAGGACCUGCAGCCCCUCCGUUCUCAAGGAGCUUCUCUCCAAGUUUGCUUCCUGA